Molecule: ribosomal RNA, 600 nt
Filed under: uncultured bacterium
Lineage: Bacteria
Description: bacterial SSU rRNA
Rfam family: Bacterial small subunit ribosomal RNA
Source: RNAcentral
AGGGUUUGAUCCUGGCUCAGGAUGAACGCUGGCGGUGUGGAUAAGGCAUGCAAGUCGAGCGGGUUUAGACCCGCGGCAAACGGGCUAGUAACACGUGGGAACCUACCCUGAAGUCGUGAAUACGCUGGAGAAAUCCAGUACAAUACACGAUGUGCUCUACGGAGUAAAGUUUUAACGCUUCAGGAGGAGCCCGCGUCCUAUCAGCUUGUUGGUGAGGUAAAAGCUCACCAAGGCAAUGACGGGUAGGGGGUGUGAGAGCAUGGCCCCCAGCAUUGGAACUGAGACACUGUCCAAACUCCUACGGGAGGCUGCAGUCGAGAAUAUUCCACAAUGGACGAAAGUCUGAUGGAGCGACACCGCGUGCAUGAUGAAGGCCUUAGGGUCGUAAAGUGCUUUUAACUGGGAUCAAUGUACUGAGCGUACCAGUUGAAUAAGAGGCUACUAACUCUGUGCCAGCAGUAGCGGUAAUACAGAGGCCUCAAGCGUUAUCCGGAUUUAUUGGGCGUAAAGCGUAUGUAGGCGGGUAUAUUAGUCGUGGGUCAAAUCUCCAAGCUUAACUUGGAAACUGCUCACGAAACGGUAUAUCUAGAGGAUGUGAGA